This 429-nucleotide ribosomal RNA is filed under the name uncultured prokaryote. RNAcentral describes it as "bacterial SSU rRNA". It matches the Rfam family "Bacterial small subunit ribosomal RNA", at positions 355 to 774 of the family's 1533-position model. The record is from RNAcentral.
UCGAGAAUAGUCUACAAUGGACGAAAGUCUGAUAGUGCGACGCCGCGUGAACGAAGAAUCCCUUCGGGGUGUAAAGUUCUUUUAUAUGUGAGCAAUGCUUCCUAGGUGAAUAGUUUAGGGAGAGAGAUAUUAGCAUAUGAAUAAGCAACGGCUAACUCCGUGCCAGCAGCCGCGGUAACACGGGGGUUGCUAGCGUUGUCCGGAAUUACUAGGCGUAAAGGGCAGGUAGGCGGAUAGAUAAGUUUGAUGUUAAAGGCGACGGCUUACCCGUCGUAAGGCAUUAGAUACUGUUUAUCUGGAAUACGGUUGGGGAAGACAGAAUUCCUGGUGUAGCGGUGGAAUGCGCAGAGAUCAGGAGGAAUACCAAAGGCGAAGGCAGUCUUCUAAGCCGUUAUUGACGCUAAACUGCGAAGGUGUGGGUAUCAAACA